Cervus elaphus (red deer) is the source of this 1513-nucleotide long non-coding RNA. RefSeq lists it as uncharacterized. Lineage: Eukaryota; Metazoa; Chordata; Mammalia; Artiodactyla; Cervidae. The transcript has 3 exons. The record is from RefSeq and is a predicted model, not a curated record.
ACGGGGGAGCCUGGUGGUCUUCUGUCUAUGGGGUUGCGCAGAGUCAGACACGACUGAAACGACCUAGCAGCAGCAGCAAAAGUGAAAAAAGAUUUGAAAGAAGCCAGAGGGAAAAAACACUUUAGCCCUGGAAGAGCAAGGAGAAGGAAUUGCAUCAGACUGGGUUUCAAAACCAUGCAAAAGGGAGUAGAGGAAAAUACUUUCUGUGUUGAGGGGAAGAAGAAAAAAAAAAAAAAAACACCGAGAAUUCUGUAGUAUCUGAUAUUAUCCUUCAAAAGAAGAAAUACCUUUAUACAAACUAAAAUUUAGGGAAUUUGUCACCAAUGGACUUCCCUUGCAAGAAUUACUAAAAGAAAUUCUUAAGGGAGAAGGAAAGUAAUAUAGGUCAGAAACAAUCUACACAAAGGAAGAGCAUUAAGGAAUAAAUGAAGGCAAGAUAACUCACCUGAAUGUGGUGGGAAAGAGCGUUAUUUGCGAGGACUGACCUGGAAAACUCAGGAGGUAAUAAUGGAGAUACAGAGCUGAGACUUGGUUAGAAGAUGGAAAAUGGACUUAACAGAGGGAGAAAAGAUUGCCUUAACUUUCUUCAGAUGCUCCAGAAAAGCAGAUUAGAAAGGCUCUUCAGAAUUAAAUCUGGAAAGGGAGGUCAUCCAGUUGGAGGAAUGGUUGCAGGAAACACCUGUGAAGUACUUUGAAAAACACAGACUUCAGGACUAUACAUCAAGAGCAACCACAUCAAUUACUGUAUCCCUGGCCUGUAUCACUGGUGGAGGCUGUAGACAUCAGCUGGUGUUGAAGGUGAUGCUCAGCCUUGAUGCUCAAGGUCCUUAAUUUAGUCCUCAGUCCUGAGCCUGAACCCUACUGGGCAGAGAAACAAUCUGUUCCAUCCUUGGAACUUCCAGCUUGAUUGACUACACAAGGUAUUUUGGUUUAGUAGGCCCUUAAAUAAGAUAACUUUUCUUUAGGUCUAAUCUCUCUCCUGCUGACAGUUCCUAUCCUCCUGGGCCUUGCCCUUAAAACUGUCUACUGUUUAUUUGAAAAGUGCAGAUAACACAAUACAAGCCGGUACUCUAGCAACCGUUAAAAUCUAUCUCAGGACACCGAGCAUGCAGAGGAACGCUGCACUCACCCCCUCUCCAUUCUAUUCCUAUCAGAGGGAACGUGGAAAACAUUCUCUCUUCUCUUGGUCAGCAUCCUCCUCUUACUGAAAGGCUGGUGUGCCUGCAUCUGAAAUGCGGAUGUGGUGGAGGAUGAAGUCUAGCUUUCGGCCUCAACAAAGACACAAUGGUUCAGAGAAGACCAGAGCAGAGCAUCCAGCCAGGCAGGAUCCAGGCCUCCGGGAUCUGCGGGAAGCGUGGGUUUCCCUGUACCGGCAGGGUGGGCUGCCAGCUCUGGGCUCUGAUGCCUGCAGAGCCCUCUUCCUGAUGUCUUCAUCAGACCAAGCCUCACUCUCGCCGGGGAGAGGGUAGCCACACAAGAAUGUAUGCGUUAGGAAGAUUUCUGCAACAUGACA